ACAGUCCUUGGACAAUUCUUCAUUUAUGUGAUCUCAAAUCAGGUAGGACUACCCGCUGAACUUAAGCAUAUCAAUAAGCGGAGGAAAAGAAACUAACAAGGAUUCCCCUAGUAACUGCGAGUGAAGCGGGAAAAGCUCAAAUUUAAAAUCUGGCAGUCUUUUGGCUGUCCGAGUUGUAAUCUAGAGAAGUGUUAUCCGCGCUG
Molecule: ribosomal RNA, 203 nt
Filed under: Cortinarius bovinus
Lineage: Eukaryota; Fungi; Basidiomycota; Agaricomycetes; Agaricales; Cortinariaceae
Description: partial 25S ribosomal RNA
Rfam family: Eukaryotic large subunit ribosomal RNA (bases 29-203)
Source: RNAcentral